RNAcentral lists this non-coding RNA (148 nucleotides) under Nomascus leucogenys (northern white-cheeked gibbon). Lineage: Eukaryota; Metazoa; Chordata; Mammalia; Primates; Hylobatidae. The record is from Rfam by way of RNAcentral.
GCCGGGCAUGGUGGCGCGUGCCUGUAGUCCCAGCUACUCGGGAGGCUGAGGUGGAAGAAUCACUUGAACCCAGGAGGUGGAGGUUGCAGUGAGCCGAGAUGGUGCCACUGCACUCUAGCCUGGGUGACAGAGCAAGACUCCGUCUCCA